AUGGGCGAGCUUGGGGAAUGGUUUCAAGAGGGGAAUCAGAUAAUACCCAAGAGGUUCCUUGCCAUUGAUGGAUUUGGUGGCCUCGGGAAGAUCACGCUCGCCCUGGAGUUGUACCGCAAGUUCGGAGAUGGAUUUGACUGCAGAGCGUUCGUGCAGGUGUCGCAGAAGUUCGAUCUGCUAAUGCUUUUGAAGAGCCUUUUCAUUCAGUUCCGUGAGCAGCAGGCUCACGAUGAUUUGUCUGUCAGAGUUGAGGAAUUGGAAGAAAUCCCUCUCAAAAAGAUGCUCGCUCGCCAAUUAGAAGAUAAGAGGUACCUUAUCUUGAUAGAUGACAUCUGGUCCGUAUCGGCAUGGGAAAAGAUUAACGAUUCUCUACCAGAUAGUUCCAAGGGUGGUAGAGUAGUGGUGACAACAAGGUUUAAAUCUGUAGCUGUGGCCUGCUGUCGUCAAAAUGGGUUUCCUUAUGAGCACAAACCGCUUGAUAAAAAGAAAUCCUACAAUUUGUUUCGUCAAAUAAUCCCCAAUGCUCCCCAUCACCCCACAGAUGUUGCAUCAGAUGUUUUGAAAAAAUGUGGGGGUUUGCCUUUGGUGAUAACUGUGGUAGCUGGGCUUGUUGCUAGUAAACUGAGCUCAGGACCUAGUGCGUCAACUUUAGAUCACUAUUUGCCUGAAGUUGCCAAUGCUUUGAGUGGAGAGCUGGAAACUAACCUCACCACUCAAGGUGUAACAAAAAUACUUGAGAGGUGCUACACUGAUUUGCCGGCCGAUCUGAAGACCUGCUUGUUGUACAUGAGCAUGUUUCCGAAGGGACGCUCUAUCAGUCGAAAGCGUUUGAUCAGAAGAUGGAUAUCAGAAGGGUUCAUUAUUGAGAAGCAUGGCAAGACUGUGGAGGAAGUUGCCGAAGACUGCUUCAAUGAACUGAUUGUCCGGAACUUGAUUCGGGCAGUCAGCAACAGCAGCAACGGAAAGGUUAAGAACUAUCAGAUUCAUGACAUGGUUCUUGAAUACAUUGUUUCCAAGUCAAGCACCGAGAAUUUCAUCACAGUAGUGGGUGGUCACUGGCAGACACCGUUCCCAAGCUAUAAGGUACGCAGGUUGUCUGUCCAGAGAAGUGAUGAAAAAGAAACAGUACAGAGGAUGAAACUAUCGCAUGUCCGGUCCUUGACGGCAUUUGAGAGCUUCAAAGAACUGCACUCUUGUUUGCUGAAGUUUCAGAUAUUACAAGUUCUGGAUCUUGAAAGUUGCAGGGACUUGUCCUCCCAUCGGCUCGACAAAAUAUGCAAAAUGCAUCAGUUGAAGUACCUGAGCCUGCGUCGUACAGACAUUGGAGAAAUACCAUCCCAAAUAGGUAUGCUGGAAUAUUCGGAGGUGCUUGACAUUAGGGAGACAAAAGUCAGACAAUUGCCAAAAUCAGUUAAGCAGCUUAAGCAAAUGACCCAUCUUCUUACUGGCAAUAAAAGCAAGAAGAUGGCAGUUACAUUAACAGAAGAAAUGACAAACAUGACAGCUCUUGAGACACUAUCUGGUGUAGGAAUAUAUGGAAGAUCAAGGUCUAAUCAAGGCAAGACGGGUAUAUUCAAGGCAGCUACCAGCGGCACAUCUAAAGAAGUGAUUCAAUCCUUGGAGAAGCUCACCAACCUGAAGAAACUUAGCCUUUACAUAAUUGGAAUGCUUGAAAAGGCAAAUGAGGAAUCAUUGCUCUCUGCCAUUGAGCACCUGAGCAGCUGCUCCCUCAAGUUUCUGGCAAUUGACGAUGGUUUCACCGGCUUUCUUGAAAAUUCAUUCAGCUCUUCAAAAGCACCGCCAGAGCACCUGCACACCCUCGAGCUUUCUGGAAUGUUGCGAAAACUGCCCCAGUGGAUUGAACGUCUGCAUAGCCUUGGAAAGCUAACUUUGUCGUUAACUUCACUCAAGAAAGGGACAUUGAAAGAUCUUGGUAAGCUGCCUCAGCUGUUCUCCCUUAUUUUUUCAAUCGAUGCAACAAACGAUCCAAGCGUUCUCAAAAUUAUAGAUCAGAAUACAUCGGAGUCGGGAGGGGAGAUAUUUGUGCUGCCCGGUGGGUUUGAAAAGCUUAAACUAUUGCGCUUUGUGGCAAUAAUGCUGCCACCUCUGAGUUUCCUCGGAGGGGCCAUGCCAGUGCUCCAGAGGCUUGAGCUGAGGUUCAGAAUUUCCGAGGGUGUUCACGGCCUGGAAAAUCUUGCAAGCCUCCAACAGGUGUUCCUCACAGUCAGCAGCAAGGCACCUAAGGCAGCCGAGGAGAUCAAACGACUUGCAAGCAAGAUUGGAAGCCUCCCUUCUGUUAUCGUCGAUGAAUACAACGAAUCAUCGGUCGAGCCGAGUAAGUAG
Molecule: ribosomal RNA, 2343 nt
Filed under: Triticum aestivum (bread wheat)
Lineage: Eukaryota; Viridiplantae; Streptophyta; Magnoliopsida; Poales; Poaceae
Description: partial small subunit ribosomal RNA
Source: RNAcentral